UGGGGAAUUUUGCACAAUGGGCGCAAGCCUGAUGCAGCGACGCCGCGUGAGGGAUGAAGGCCUUCGGUUUGUAAACUUUUUUCGCUCAUGGUCAAGCCGCAGCUUUGGGUUGUGGUGAGGGUAGCGGGUAAAGAAGCGCCGGCUAACUACGUGCCAGCAGCCGCGGUAAUACGUAGGGCGCGAGCGUUGUCCGGAUUUAUUGGGCGUAAAGGGAUUCUUGGCGGUUGGCCGCGUCUGCCGUGAAAUCCUCUGGCUUAACUUGGGGGGUGGGGUGGGUAGGGGUUGACUGGAGUGCGGUAGGGGGGACGGGAAUUCCUGGUGUAGCGGUGGAAUGCGCAGAUAGCAGGAGGAACACCGGUGGCGAAGGCGGGUCUCUGGGCCGUUACUGACGCUGGGGAGCGAAAGCGUGGGGAGCGAACAGG
RNAcentral lists this ribosomal RNA (422 nucleotides) under Verrucomicrobiota bacterium. RNAcentral's name for it is "Verrucomicrobia bacterium partial 16S ribosomal RNA". It matches the Rfam family "Bacterial small subunit ribosomal RNA", at positions 355 to 776 of the family's 1533-position model. The record is from RNAcentral. Lineage: Bacteria; Pseudomonadati; Verrucomicrobiota.